Long non-coding RNA from Osmerus eperlanus (European smelt), 1322 nucleotides. RefSeq lists it as uncharacterized. The record is from RefSeq and is a predicted model, not a curated record. The transcript has 2 exons. NCBI's taxonomy places the organism in Eukaryota, Metazoa, Chordata, Actinopteri, Osmeriformes, Osmeridae.
AUCUCUGAUAUGUAGUCUUUUAGGCCACUGCUUGGGGAUCUCUGGGAGUUGUAGUCUUUAUACUGAUUUACCCUUUGUGUGUAGAACCGGGAGAUGCAUGAUCAGAUGGACUACUUCAUGGGAGGUCAAAGGUCAAACUCAUACCUCUCAGACCGCAAUGCCCAGAUUGUUUACAGCAAACCACUCAAGCCCUCCACCUCAUCCAGUAAACCGCUUCCGUUCAUCAAAGUCAUCGAGAUAAAGUCCUGAGCUGGAUCAAGUAAACCAGUGAGGAAGAGAGAGUGAGGCUUAGAAAGAGACAGAGAGAUGAGGAGGUAGGAACUAGAAAAUGCUCACCGCCCAACCUGCAAAGCAACAGCAACAGUGGACUGUAACCAUAACCAGACCACACCAGCAUACCACAAUCACCACCGCAAUCCACGUCUGUAGAUACUGGGCCACAACAUGGACAGGAUCUCACCCUGAACCUACAUGUACACACCCCUCGAUUUGGGGGGACAUUAUGCAACGUGUGGGUGCUUUUUGAGAAGCACUGCCAUGAAACACAUACAGCAGGAUGUCAGGUGACAGGAAGUUAGAAGAGGGGUCUGGAAAUGGAUCUGUGUCGAAGGGGAUGUUGAGAGUGACAGUUUGUUCUGUCUAUUCUAGGACAGUUGGAAACCAGGCAAAAAAAAGAUAGAAUUUCACAUAUAAAUGUAUUGUGUCUGUAACCCAAUGACCCAGGUAGUUCCUGCUCCUCUCCACUUACAAACAUUAUGAUUUGACCCCUGAAAUGUAAAGGUGAUACUGUAUCACAGUCGUUUGCGCCACUGUAAAUACAUAUCUGUGACCUUCAACCCUCUGUGUGUUGUGUGAACAGUCUGAGUGAAGGUCUAUAUUCUUAUUUCUGAACUUGUAGCACAUGGACUGCUUGUGAUGUCACACACUAACUAGAUAAAGUGACAUCAGUACUAAUGAGAACGUGCGUGCCGCUCAGCUAAAGUAAAUGAAGGUGAGAAUGGUGGUCGUGAUGAUGAAGUUUGACAAACAUGUUCCUCCUCACCUGUUGCACACAGUCGUGUCACAGUGAGAAUGUGUUUCUGUUUAUGGAAGUGUCAUCCACCAUCCAUGGAUUUUUUUUAACAUAUUUGUUAUAUAUUAAUAUCAUGUUAAUAUUCUGUUUAAUGCUUUUCCUUACGUUUCGCCGAACAUUUCAUGGCAUUCUUCUGUUCUAUUUAUGUGGACAUGAUUAGAGAAAUAUCAUGGAAGUUAGUGUGUUUGUGUUAUUAAUUUCUUUACAAGCUAUGUGUGUUUUGAUUAUUUAAAUAAAUUGAUUAAAAUUA